UGGCUGUUCAAUCGUCAUGAUACAUGUACGAGCAUCACAAAUGAGUCAGCAGUCGAAACAUGGAUUUUACAUACUUGAUUAACAGGAUAAGAAUCGUCAAACUCAAUGUGAUAUUGGUUUCAUUGGGUACCAUAGUUUAUUAAUUCAAUUUUAACACUUUUACACAUUUUUAAAACCACACCAUAUCCCUAUAUUUGAUGCG
This 202-nucleotide long non-coding RNA is filed under the name Mytilus galloprovincialis (Mediterranean mussel). The record is from RNAcentral. Lineage: Eukaryota; Metazoa; Mollusca; Bivalvia; Mytilida; Mytilidae.